RNAcentral lists this ribosomal RNA (280 nucleotides) under Klebsiella pneumoniae. RNAcentral's name for it is "partial 16S ribosomal RNA". It matches the Rfam family "Bacterial small subunit ribosomal RNA", at positions 865 to 1145 of the family's 1533-position model. Lineage: Bacteria; Pseudomonadati; Pseudomonadota; Gammaproteobacteria; Enterobacterales; Enterobacteriaceae. The record is from RNAcentral.
UCGACCGCCUGGGGAGUACGGCCGCAAGGUUAAAACUCAAAUGAAUUGACGGGGGCCCGCACAAGCGGUGGAGCAUGUGGUUUAAUUCGAUGCAACGCGAAGAACCUUACCUGGUCUUGACAUCCACAGAACUUAGCAGAGAUGCUUUGGUGCCUUCGGGAACUGUGAGACAGGUGCUGCAUGGCUGUCGUCAGCUCGUGUUGUGAAAUGUUGGGUUAAGUCCCGCAACGAGCGCAACCCUUAUCCUUUGUUGCCAGCGGUUAGGCCGGGAACUCAAAGG